This is a long non-coding RNA of Empidonax traillii (willow flycatcher), 789 nucleotides long. RefSeq lists it as uncharacterized. The transcript is spliced from 5 exons. NCBI's taxonomy places the organism in Eukaryota, Metazoa, Chordata, Aves, Passeriformes, Tyrannidae. The record is from RefSeq and is a predicted model, not a curated record.
CGAUGUUUUUCCCUGGGACUGCGUGGCUGGCGAGAUGGUAACGCCGAGGCGGGGAGCAGCUUCACAGCUCUCUGCCCUCAGCGGAGCCACCGCCUGAGCAGCGCCGUGCCACAGCCGCGCCACAGCCAGGCGCUCUCCCCGUGCCCGUGCCUCGCUGCCCGGCGUGGGGAGCGGCACUCCCGCUCCCGGGGGCUCCUCGGGGAUCCACCGCCUGCCGGCUUCCCUGCGCCAUCCUCCGGGAAGGCCUGUCCCCCCGUGCACGUGCCUGGGAAAGUGCCAAGAUCACAAUCAAAAAGGUCAUCAAUGAAGAUUUGUUCAUGCAGCUAAGCAAACUGUUCAUGGAGAGAGCUCUAAACGAAACAGGGAAUGAAUACCACGUAACCAGACAGCCAUAAAUCUUCAGCUGCAGACCACUGAUAGGAGUCUAUAGACCACCAGUUUGGGAAACCUCUGCUUUAAACCUCUAAAUGAUUCAACAUUUGUUCCCUCUGAUGACAUCGCGAAUCUGGGAAUGAAGAACUUCUUAGAGCUGAUUGGAAAUGGCAUUACAGAGCUGAAACUUAACUGGAGGAAAUAUAUCUCCUGAAGAAGAAAAUAUAAUGCACUAUAAGGAUCUGACUUCUGGUGAAAAACUCAAGCCUAGAGAAAACUUGUCCGCUUUGUUAGGAAGGAUGGGUUGGACAAUUUUCUUCAGUUCCAAAGGAUAUCUGAAUGCCAUGCUGAGCUUAAUCUCUGCAGCAUGCUCUGUGCUUCUCAUCUCUUCCUGAUGCACUGCAUGGUUAUCCUGAA